Molecule: long non-coding RNA, 373 nt
Organism: Gallus gallus (chicken)
Lineage: Eukaryota; Metazoa; Chordata; Aves; Galliformes; Phasianidae
Source: Ensembl
UUUGAAAAGCCAAAAGCUUGCAUUCUCAGGAAAAUACAUAACCCCAGGAAUCAACGCUUUGUGAAAAGCUGCAAAUGCUGUGAGACUAGCACUGGAACUGGGGAAACGGGCAACAAGCCCAUACAAAGCGAUUACCCAGCAAGUUCACGUGGCUGAUGAAAUUACUACAGAGCAAUUUGUAGUCACCUACAAAUCAGAGAUAUCAGGCCUUGAAAAACAGAGACUAUUCAGUGUUACUUCCAAAUCCCAAGUCUCCUUCCGACACAGCAUUAUCCUUCUGCUAAGUGGUAGCAGAUGAGAGAGUUCUGAUCACUGCACGAACACGAGAGCAUUCCUGCCUCCAACACAUGCCCCUUCCUAAGGACCGAGGCCG